Non-coding RNA from Ictidomys tridecemlineatus (thirteen-lined ground squirrel), 85 nucleotides. The record is from Rfam. NCBI's taxonomy places the organism in Eukaryota, Metazoa, Chordata, Mammalia, Rodentia, Sciuridae.
AUUGCUUCUCAGCCUUUUGGCUAAGAUCAAGCGUAGUAUCUGUUCCUUUCAGUUUAAUAUUUCACCCUUCAAACCCCUACUUCUU